RNAcentral lists this ribosomal RNA (254 nucleotides) under uncultured bacterium. RNAcentral describes it as "partial 16S ribosomal RNA". It matches the Rfam family "Bacterial small subunit ribosomal RNA", at positions 524 to 776 of the family's 1533-position model. The record is from RNAcentral.
UACGUAGGGCGCAAGCGUUGUCCGGAAUUAUUGGGCGUAAAGAGCUCGUAGGCGGCUUGUCACGUCGGGUGUGAAAGCCCCGGGGCUUAACCCCGGGUCUGCAUUCGAUACGGGCUAGCUAGAGUGUGGUAGGGGAGAUCGGAAUUCCUGGUGUAGCGGUGAAAUGCGCAGAUAUCAGGAGGAACACCGGUGGCGAAGGCGGGUCUCUGGGCCGAUACUGACGCUGAGGAGCGAAAGCGUGGGGAGCGAACAGG